RNAcentral lists this ribosomal RNA (497 nucleotides) under uncultured bacterium. Its description in RNAcentral is "partial 16S ribosomal RNA". It matches the Rfam family "Bacterial small subunit ribosomal RNA", at positions 28 to 507 of the family's 1533-position model. The record is from RNAcentral.
GAUGAACGCUGGCGGUGUGCCUAAUACAUGCAAGUCGAGCGAACGGACGAGAAGCUUGCUUUUCUGAUGUUAGCGGCGGACGGGUGAGUAACACGUGGAUAACCUACCUAUAAGACUGGGAUAACUUCGGGAAACCGGAGCUAAUACCGGAUAAUAUUUUGAACCGCAUGGUUCAAAAGUGAAAGACGGUCUUGCUGUCACUUAUAGAUGGAUCCGCGCUGCAUUAGCUAGUUGGUAAGGUAACGGCUUACCAAGGCAACGAUGCAUAGCCGACCUGAGAGGGUGAUCGGCCACACUGGAACUGAGACACGGUCCAGACUCCUACGGGAGGCAGCAGUAAGGAAUCUUCCGCAAUGGGCGAAAGCCUGACGGAGCAACGCCGCGUGAGUGAUGAAGGUCUUCGGAUCGUAAAACUCUGUUAUUAGGGAAGAACAUAUGUGUAAGUAACUGUGCACAUCUUGACGGUACCUAAUCAGAAAGCCACGGCUAACUACGUG